CUUAUUUUGAGCCCUUUGGAGAAGAUCUGUUUGCUGCUUUUGUUGUGGGGCUGAUGAGUAAACUAGAGGGAUGGAAAGAAAUUAGGUUUGUCAUCUGAUUUCUUGGAGCCUGGUGGAGAUAGAUGCCACCAUUCUACAAGGCAGGCCAUUUAUCUGCAUCCAGGUUGAGGCUUGCUACCAGCAGGAACAUGGAGUACUUCGUGUGCUACAGAGACAGAAUGAUCCAAGGACCUCCAGAGCCUUCUGACCAACUACCUGCGAUCUCUCCAGAGCACAGAG
Molecule: long non-coding RNA, 279 nt
Organism: Oncorhynchus gorbuscha (pink salmon)
Lineage: Eukaryota; Metazoa; Chordata; Actinopteri; Salmoniformes; Salmonidae
Exons: 3
Source: RefSeq, a predicted model, not a curated record